UACGUAGGGUGCGAGCGUUGUCCGGAAUUAUUGGGCGUAAAGGGCUCGUAGGCGGUUUGUCACGUCGGGAGUGAAAACUCGGGGCUUAACCCCGAGCCUGCUUCCGAUACGGGCUGACUAGAGGUAUGCAGGGGAGAACGGAAUUCCUGGUGUAGCGGUGAAAUGCGCAGAUAUCAGGAGGAACACCGGUGGCGAAGGCGGUUCUCUGGGCAUUACCUGACGCUGAGGAGCGAAAGCGUGGGGAGCGAACAGG
This 253-nucleotide ribosomal RNA is filed under the name uncultured bacterium. RNAcentral describes it as "partial 16S ribosomal RNA". It matches the Rfam family "Bacterial small subunit ribosomal RNA", at positions 524 to 776 of the family's 1533-position model. The record is from RNAcentral.